Pangasianodon gigas (Mekong giant catfish) is the source of this 72-nucleotide non-coding RNA. The record is from the annotation of a GenBank genome assembly. Lineage: Eukaryota; Metazoa; Chordata; Actinopteri; Siluriformes; Pangasiidae.
UCCCUGGUGGACUAGUGGCCAGUAUGUGCUGCUCUCAUUGCCGUGGUCCAGGUUCGAUUCUUGGUCAGGGAA